Molecule: ribosomal RNA, 391 nt
Filed under: uncultured Pythium
Lineage: Eukaryota; Oomycota; Peronosporomycetes; Pythiales
Description: bacterial SSU rRNA
Rfam family: Eukaryotic small subunit ribosomal RNA
Source: RNAcentral
UGUAGUCAUAUGCUUGUCUCAAAGAUUAAGCCAUGCAUGUCUAAGUAUAAACAACUUUGUACUGUGAAACUGCGAAUGGCUCAUUAUAUCAGUUAUAGUCUACUCGAUAGUACCUUACUACUUGGAUAACCGUAGUAAUUCUAGAGCUAAUACAUGCAUCGAUACCCAACUGCUUGUCGGGCGGGUAGCAUUUAUUAGAUUGAAACCAAUGCAGUCUUCGGGCUGGUAUUGUGUUGAGUCAUAAUAACUGUGCGGAUCGCACUCAGUGCGAUAGGUCGAUUGAGUUUCUGCCCUAUCAGCUUUGGAUGGUAGGAUAUGGGCCUACCAUGGCAUCAACGGGUAACGGGGAAUGGGGCGGGGGCGGCGGGCCGGGCGCGGGGCGCGGCGGGCG